RNAcentral lists this ribosomal RNA (254 nucleotides) under uncultured bacterium. RNAcentral's name for it is "partial 16S ribosomal RNA". It matches the Rfam family "Bacterial small subunit ribosomal RNA", at positions 524 to 776 of the family's 1533-position model. The record is from RNAcentral.
UACAGAGGUCCCAAGCGUUGUUCGGAUUCACUGGGCGUAAAGGGUGCGUAGGUGGUGAGGUAAGUCGGAUGUGAAACCUCCGAGCUCAACUCGGAAAUGGCAUUAGAAACUACCUUGCUAGAGGGUUGGAGGGGGGGACUGGAAUACUUGGUGUAGCAGUGAAAUGCGUAGAUAUCAAGUGGAACACCAGUGGCGAAGGCGAGUCCCUGGACAAUUGCUGACGCUCAGGCACGAAAGCGUGGGGAGCAAACAGG